AUCUCUGCAUCUUCGUUCCAAAAUCAAAGAGGAGAUUAUUUCCCCAGCUUCUCUCCGCUCUCUGCAUCGUCUCCAGUCCGCCAGCCUCCGACUCCGACGAUCUUGGGGUUCUUAGUAGGCGUUCUCAGUUCGCCAGCCAUCGACUUCGACGACAGUCGGCGUUCUCAGGUUGCCAGCCUCGUACUUUGACGAUCUUGGCCAUUCUCAGCUUCACCUUCGAUCACCGACGGGUCUGCUCACUCUCGGGUCUCUCUCCCUAACGCCGACGGUCUGUGACUCCCUCUCGGCUCUCUCUCCAAACGGUCGACGACAACCUCUUGGCUACGAGUUGCUCUCUCUGCCGAAACACAGUGAUCUCUCUUGCAACUACCUCAAUGGAUCAAUCCCCCCAAGCCUUUCUCGUGCACCCCUGCGCAUUCUGAGUGUACUGGGAAACCGACUCAGUGGUUCCAUUCCUCCAGAGAUUGGUAACAUUAGAACGCUCAGGGAGCUAUAAGUCUAA
Molecule: long non-coding RNA, 502 nt
Organism: Humulus lupulus (European hop)
Lineage: Eukaryota; Viridiplantae; Streptophyta; Magnoliopsida; Rosales; Cannabaceae
Exons: 3
Source: RefSeq, a predicted model, not a curated record